CCGCCUCCCCCCCCUCCCAGCAUUGCUGGGAAGCUUUGGGGAUUAAAGCAUCCCUCCAGACAGGGUCGUGAAGGGCAGAGCGGGCACAGAGGGCUCCGGGAAGGGCUGGCAUCGACCGAUCUGCCCGAGGGCGGAGGAAGCGCUGGGGAUCGGGGUUGUACCCGUGGGGCUGUGCACGGGGCAGCUUCCCAGGCCCCUCUGUGGUUCCUGACGUCACGGAGAGGCCAAAUCUUCCCUUUUGCACAGAAAAAAAGGCUCAUCUGCAGUCACAGCGGGCUGCACUUGACAGCUCAUAACUUAAUGGCUUUUAAAAAAUAGCCACAGCCUGUUUUAAACGCUGGUCGACGUCUCCUCUACCUUUCCCCCCGGAAAGCCUUCUGAGCUCUCACUUUUCCGAUAUUAGACACUUUCUCUACUCUUCGGCCUUCAUUUAUUAAUGGCUAAUUAUAUCUAUUUGCUUUUGUGCCAACAUUGUCCUUUAGCUUGAAUAGCUUUUUUCCCUCCCUAAUGCUUGCUUCCCGGUGCUAUUUAUAGGCAGCAAUUGUAUCCCCCCGCAGCCUCUGUUUCGCUUGGCUACACAAGCUGCGUGCCUUCAGCCUCCUCAAAACGGCCCCGUCGCCCUCCUGCCUCCCUCCGCGUCCCCUCCUCGAGCCGAGGGGGUUCAGGCGGGUGCCCAGCUGGUGCCGGCGUCUGGCAGAAACCAGUUGGGUGGCAGCACUGGCCGCGAUGCUUUGGGGCAGAAAGCCGGGGGGCAGAGCCACGUGCCACCGGAGAGCCCCAUGGGGUUAUUAUGUUUUUUAGGCAGCCCCAUUGGGUUCUUUUUUAGGCAAAGGCAGGGAUGGCUCCAGGCUCCCGUUUGCCUUCCCUGUCCCUCCCAGCCCAUUUCUUUGGAGGGAGAGCGAGCGCCCGGCAACACCCGGCAGCGUGGCCCACCAAGGCAGCGCACGGAGUUGCGCGAUUUCUAUCGGCGCUUUCAUCCCGGGAUGAAACGGAUGAUAGAAAACAUUUGGU
Aquila chrysaetos chrysaetos is the source of this 1011-nucleotide long non-coding RNA. RefSeq lists it as uncharacterized. The transcript is spliced from 2 exons. Lineage: Eukaryota; Metazoa; Chordata; Aves; Accipitriformes; Accipitridae. The record is from RefSeq and is a predicted model, not a curated record.